This is a non-coding RNA of Oryza glumipatula, 206 nucleotides long. The record is from Rfam. Lineage: Eukaryota; Viridiplantae; Streptophyta; Magnoliopsida; Poales; Poaceae.
AAUAAACACAGCCAUGAGUUUUCAUACCUAACUUUAACCAUCCGUCUUAUUUGAAUUCUUUUUAUAAUUAAUAUUUUUGUUGUUAUGAAAUGAUAAAAUAUAAAUAGUAUUUUGCUCGUGACUUAUGUUUUAAAUUUUUUUUAAAAAAAAAUUCAUAUAAAACGAACGAUCAAAGUUGAACGUGAAAAAUCAUGGCUGUAUUUAUU